UGUAGAGAAGCUGUUCCGUGAAUUAAAACCCUUGAUUGUGCCGGCUCGAUUUAAGUGAUUGUUCAACUUCAAUCACUCUUCUGCAUUCGUUCAUAAUGAUAAUUUCUUUGAGGGCUUUUCUUUGUUAAAAAAAAAAGGUGUUUUUAUGACCCGCAAAGUGAUGAGUCCAUAAAUUAUCAUUCUCUCAUCUGUACCCAGGCGCAGCACAUGAACCUCUCUUCAUAUCAAUCUCUUCCUCCUUUACAAGACACCACACUGUCAAAAGUGCCUGAGGAGACGCAAGCUCUGCCGAUGGAGGAAGAGCCCCAGCUGAGAUGGGGUUAAUAUUUAUCCAUCCUAAAAGUUCUGCAGGGACUUCUGCGAUUUGUCACCCCAGUGGUAAGGCCCGGCGUCAGGAAUACAGUUAAUGGUUAGACGCACGCCUCCCUCCGCACGCCGACAAAGGAAGGUCCGCCUCAGCCAGGAAGCGCCGUGGAGGAACAGGGAUCCUGUCACUAUCUGUCUCCUCAAAAAGAUGGCAGUUCCUGACCAGUUAAUGGUUAACAGACAUGUGGACGUGUCAAUCUUCGGGAGUGACAGGGAGCAUAAACGCACAAACCCGCAGACGGUGGGAGCCCAGUGCUGAUGCUGUAAACAUAUCUUGUUAACAGGAAGCAGACCCUAUGCCGCAGCAGCACUGAGUGACAGGAUCACAGAUGACUAACAACAGCAGCACUCACUCCUUUUCUUUCCCCCUCUGCUGUUUUUACCUGAGACCUUUUUUGCUGCUAGGUCUUUAAAACAUGUUUUGCGGUCAUUAAAAAUCAGAGGAGAAAUGA
Non-coding RNA from Poecilia reticulata (guppy), 818 nucleotides. NCBI's taxonomy places the organism in Eukaryota, Metazoa, Chordata, Actinopteri, Cyprinodontiformes, Poeciliidae. The record is from RefSeq and is a predicted model, not a curated record.